CUCCUCUUUGAACUAGUGGCCCAUGCCUCCUCAAACCUUUCCUUACUCAAAAUAAGACUUAUAACAAAACCAACACAAUACCAAUCCUUUCCUCUUAAACACCAAACCCACUUCGCCCAAGCUUAUCUUCCUUCCAGGUCUCCCUUGCCUAAUGCUAUUGCAGGACACAUUACCAUGAAGAUCCACGCCUUUUUUUUCUAUUAUUUCACCUCCAUUAUUCUCAUUUUUAUCAUUUUCACAGAAUCUCAAUAUCUUAGCCAAAAUAUAACUAUUUCACAGUCUUAGAAAUCUGAGUCUUCUUAUCUCAUGGGCUUUUGCAAUUCACAUCUUCAACAUUGUGCCAUUUCAAGGCUUGCAACAAUGAUUUCACUGGAGUCUAUACCUGUCCUCAAAUGAUGGUUUUGCUCUAUCUUCGCAAUACCAGGGAACUAUUGCAGAAAUCCCAUUGUUGCCAUAGGAGCCUGAUUUGGUAUUCAUCCUUGUUAGAUAUUUAGUUUUUGCCUUUUUUUUUUGGUUUCUUAACUAAUUUAACAUUUAAAAUAACAAUUUCAGAUUUCUUAGUGUUAGGUGUUCUAAAAUCAAGCUGGUAAAAUGGAUUUUCUAAAAAGAUGUUUUGACCUAUUUUACUUUAUACUAGUUUUCCAUUUGGUAAUAUAGAAACACUUGCAUUGUGGUUUAUAUUUUGUAGGAUUAACAUUGUGUCUUGUGAACUAUUCAUUAUGUCCUGUUGAAUAAAGUGGUGUUGUAACUAAUGUGGAUUAACAUUGUGUCUUGUGAGCAAUUGAUCUUUUUUUAGUUCUUUAAUUAAAAAAA
This 813-nucleotide unclassified non-coding RNA is filed under the name Hevea brasiliensis (rubber tree). Lineage: Eukaryota; Viridiplantae; Streptophyta; Magnoliopsida; Malpighiales; Euphorbiaceae. The record is from RNAcentral.